RNAcentral lists this ribosomal RNA (497 nucleotides) under uncultured bacterium. Its description in RNAcentral is "partial 16S ribosomal RNA". It matches the Rfam family "Bacterial small subunit ribosomal RNA", at positions 28 to 507 of the family's 1533-position model. The record is from RNAcentral.
GAUGAACGCUGGCGGCGUGCCUAAUACAUGCAAGUCGAGCGAACAGACGAGGAGCUUGCUCCUCUGACGUUAGCGGCGGACGGGUGAGUAACACGUGGAUAACCUACCUAUAAGACUGGGAUAACUUCGGGAAACCGGAGCUAAUACCGGAUAAUAUAUUGAACCGCAUGGUUCAAUAGUGAAAGACGGUUUUGCUGUCACUUAUAGAUGGAUCCGCGCCGCAUUAGCUAGUUGGUAAGGUAACGGCUUACCAAGGCAACGAUGCGUAGCCGACCUGAGAGGGGGAUCGGCCACACUGGAACUGAGCCACGGUCCCGACUCCUACGGGAGGCAGCAGUAGGGAAUCUUACGCAAUGGGCGAAAGCCUGACGGAGCAACGCCGCGUGAGUGAUGAAGGUCUUCGGAUCGUAAAACUCUGUUAUUAGGGAAGAACAAAUGUGUAAGUAACUAUGCACGUCUUGACGGUACCUAAACAGAAAGCCACGGCUAACUACGUG